This 468-nucleotide ribosomal RNA is filed under the name uncultured bacterium. Its description in RNAcentral is "partial 16S ribosomal RNA". It matches the Rfam family "Bacterial small subunit ribosomal RNA", at positions 28 to 507 of the family's 1533-position model. The record is from RNAcentral.
GACGAACGCUGGCGGCGUGCUUAACACAUGCAAGUCGAACGGAAAGGCCCUGCUUUUGUGGGGUGCUCGAGUGGCGAACGGGUGAGUAACACGUGAGUAACCUGCCCUUGACUUUGGGAUAACUUCAGGAAACUGGGGCUAAUACCGGAUAGGAGCUCCUGCUGCAUGGUGGGGGUUGGAAAGUUUCGGCGGUUGGGGAUGGACUCGCGGCUUAUCAGCUUGUUGGUGGGGUAGUGGCUUACCAAGGCUUUGACGGGUAGCCGGCCUGAGAGGGUGACCGGCCACAUUGGGACUGGGAUACGGCCCAGACUCCUACGGGAGGCAGCAGUGGGGAAUAUUGCACAAUGGGCGGAAGCCUGAUGCAGCAACGCCGCGUGCGGGAUGACGGCCUUCGGGUUGUAAACCGCUUUCGCCUGUGGCGAAGCGUGAGUGACGGUAAUGGGUAAAGAAACACCGGCUAACUACGUG